CCCUAGUAACUGCGAGUGAAGCGGGAAAAGCUCAAAUUUAAAAUCUGGUGGUCUUUGAUCAUCCGAGUUGUAAUCUAGAGAAGUGUUAUCCGCGCUGGACCGUGUACAAGUCUCCUGGAAUGGAGCGUCAUAGAGGGUGAGAAUCCCGUCUUUGACACGGACUGCCAGGGCUUUGUGAUGCGCUCUCAAAGAGUCGAGUUGUUUGGGAAUGCAGCUCAAAAUGGGUGGUAAAUUCCAUCUAAAGCUAAAUAUUGGCGAGAGACCGAUAGCGAACAAGUACCGUGAGGGAAAGAUGAAAAGAACUUUGGAAAGAGAGUUAAACAGUACGUGAAAUUGCUGAAAGGGAAACGCUUGAAGUCAGUCGCGUUGGCCGGGGAUCAACCUUGCUUUUGCUGGGCGUACUUUCCGGUUGACGGGUCAGCAUCAAUUUUGACCGUUGGAUAAAGUUCAAGGGAAUGUGGCAUCUUCGGAUGUGUUAUAGCCUUUGUUCGCAUACAACGGUUGGGAUUGAGGAACUCAGCACGCCGCAAGGCCGGGUAUUUAUACUACGUUCGUGCUUAGGAUGCUGGCAUAAUGGCUUUAAUCGACCCGUCUUGAAACACGGACCAAGGAGUCUAACAUGCCUGCGAGUGUUUGGGUGGAAAACCCGAGCGCGUAAUGAAAGUGAAAGUUGAGAUCCCUGUCGUGGGGAGCAUCGACGCCCGGACCAGACCUUUUGUGACGGAUCCGCGGUAGAGCAUGUAUGUUGGGACCCGAAAGAUGGUGAACUAUGCCUGAAUAGGGUGAAGCCAGAGGAAACUCUGGUGGAGGCUCGUAGCGAUUCUGACGUGCAAAUCGAUCGUCAAAUUUGGGUAUAGGGGCGAAAGACUAAUCGAACCAUCUAGUAGCUGG
Molecule: ribosomal RNA, 891 nt
Filed under: Galerina marginata
Lineage: Eukaryota; Fungi; Basidiomycota; Agaricomycetes; Agaricales; Galerinaceae
Description: partial large subunit ribosomal RNA
Rfam family: Eukaryotic large subunit ribosomal RNA
Source: RNAcentral